GAGGGGCUGUAGCCGAGUGGCAGAGCAUCUGCUUUGCAUGCAGAAGGGCCCAGGUUCAGCCCUGGGCAUCUUG
Podarcis lilfordi (Lilford's wall lizard) is the source of this 73-nucleotide non-coding RNA. Lineage: Eukaryota; Metazoa; Chordata; Lepidosauria; Squamata; Lacertidae. The record is from the annotation of a GenBank genome assembly.